Long non-coding RNA from Pomacea canaliculata, 704 nucleotides. RefSeq lists it as uncharacterized. The record is from RefSeq and is a predicted model, not a curated record. Lineage: Eukaryota; Metazoa; Mollusca; Gastropoda; Architaenioglossa; Ampullariidae. The transcript is spliced from 2 exons.
AACCUUGCGAGGGAGUGGUCAGCUUGACGCAAGCAUGACGAUGAUUCUGAGGUCAACAGUUCGGAUGAACCCUUUCAGACAGGUGCCCUGACAAGGCAAACAUUGCACUUGCUCACCCCGUGUGUGUGUUUGGACACGUGUGUAGUGGUAAAGAAGACAACAGGUAAAGGUUUCUUUUAAUUCCACCAUCUUGUCAUCGUGUCCACAUUUUGAGAGAAAAUAGACCUCUGGACGUUUUCUUCUUUUUUCUCUUAAAAUAUUGUAGCGAAUACAGAAAGCAGUUCAAACUACACUUGCGACAUCAGGAAGGACGCCAGGUACAUUUACUACCGACGACGACAGGACGAGGACAACCUCAUUCAUCACCUUUACAGUCAUGACGUCUCUGUUUGGGUUCAAGGCCGCUCGUAAAGUCAGGCCAAUAAUGUCGGUGUCGACAUCGCACGCUCAUGGCUGCCAUGGCAACGCCUGUGGACCACGUACGAACCGUUACAAGGGUCGUGUGGGUGACUAGCCGCGCUCAUGAUGUCGCACACAUGGUGACCAGAAACACCCUCAAGUCAGCUCAACAUUUGCGAAGAACUUACAAACAUUUCUUCAGGUCUUGAAUAUUUGACUCAUUAGCGACAGUAAACUACAUCCAACAUGAUUCCAAAAGGGACAAGCAGUCCAUACUUUUCUUAUUUCUUGUUAUUAACAUGCUU